This 465-nucleotide ribosomal RNA is filed under the name Vreelandella stevensii. RNAcentral's name for it is "partial 16S ribosomal RNA". It matches the Rfam family "Bacterial small subunit ribosomal RNA", at positions 338 to 795 of the family's 1533-position model. Lineage: Bacteria; Pseudomonadati; Pseudomonadota; Gammaproteobacteria; Oceanospirillales; Halomonadaceae. The record is from RNAcentral.
CCUACGGGUGGCAGCAGUGGGGAAUAUUGGACAAUGGGGGGAACCCUGAUCCAGCCAUGCCGCGGGUGUGAAGAAGGCCCUCGGGUUGUAAAGCACUUUCAGUGAGGAAGAACGCCUGGUGGUUAAUACCCAUCAGGAAAGACAUCACUCACAGAAGAAGCACCGGCUAACUCCGUGCCAGCAGCCGCGGUAAUACGGAGGGUGCGAGCGUUAAUCGGAAUUACUGGGCGUAAAGCGCGCGUAGGUGGCUUGAUAAGCCGGUUGUGAAAGCCCCGGGCUCAACCUGGGAACGGCAUCCGGAACUGUCAAGCUAGAGUGCAGGAGAGGAAGGUAGAAUUCCCGGUGUAGCGGUGAAAUGCGUAGAGAUCGGGAGGAAUACCAGUGGCGAAGGCGGCCUUCUGGACUGACACUGACACUGAGGUGCGAAAGCGUGGGUAGCAAACAGGAUGAGAUACCCCGGUAGUC